Brachypodium distachyon (stiff brome) is the source of this 4538-nucleotide long non-coding RNA. RefSeq lists it as uncharacterized. NCBI's taxonomy places the organism in Eukaryota, Viridiplantae, Streptophyta, Magnoliopsida, Poales, Poaceae. The record is from RefSeq and is a predicted model, not a curated record. The transcript has 2 exons.
ACUAACCUCAAAUUUCGCAGUUCACAAAAUAAAGUACACUCCGUAAAAUAAAAUAAAGUUCCCCUGCGACUCUGCUCAACCUCCCAAAAUCCCCAAUGACGACUGACGGCCUCGCCUGCCAUCCCCCACCUCCGCGCCGUCGACCGCCGCCUCUUCCUCGACGCCAUCACCACCUCCUCCAGCUGACCACCCACUAGGACCGCGCACCACCUCGUAGCCUCCGGCGGCCGAGCCACCACCUCAAACCCAAGCCCCAGCCUCCACCGCAGCACCGCCUCCCUCAUCACCGGCGACGCCUCCGCUUCCGUGGGUCUCGUCCCCGUAUUCCCCAGCGUCACCUUCCCCAACUGUUGCUCCAUCGCAUGAUCGCAGCAACUGUGCUGCAGCACGGCAACUUAAUUUACCCAUCCCGUCUCCGGGGUCCCCUCGACCAUGCCCCCCCAUGGCCCAAAGUGGUGGUUCGGGGAGCCCCUCUAGGCCACCGCCGGCGACCAGGGUUGCUGCCUCUACCUUCUCCUAGACCGGCUCCCAGCUCAGAGAAGGGCGCCUAGACCCGCACGCCGCAGUUGCGUGGCCACUACGACGACCACUCAGUGCCCCUUGGAGGACAGGGACACAGGGUUUGUACCAUUCUGAGCUCCUUUAAUCCCCUGUCAGGAAAUGCUGAAGUUCCUGUCGCUCUAGUUUGAGAAUCCCGACCACCAAGGGCAUCAAGUCGAGCCCAAUGGCCCGCCAACCACCGGCACGGUGAGGGCCAUUGACCAGGUGAUGGGCAACAGGGCAAGCAUAUUUGUGGGUUGGAGGAAAGGGGAUAUUCGACGAUGUGAUCAUACUCAUCAUUUUCUAGUGGACCUGGCGCCAUGGAUUAAGGUGCUGGCACUGGAUUCAGUCAAUGAGCCCACCGCUGGCCAUCAGGCAACCGCCGGUGUUGUCACCAGGGAUGUCGAAUCGAACAAGGGGCUAGUGUCCAGGAAGGUGAACUAUGGGGUCCUAUUUGAGGAUGUACCUGAAGCAGGAUUUUCCAGAAUGCCUCCAUUGCUCAGAUAAUUACAAGAUCUCUCUGAUCAUCGAGUUGCUGGAGGAAGGGGGUAGGAGAUGGAGAGGGCAGAAAGGGGCGAGUGUGGCUGUGUGUAGGCACUCAUAUGUAUGCAAUGCCUUCUUGAUGAGGCCAUAUUCAUUUGUCCAUGGACCUCAGUUUGCUCAGGGAAGGAGUGAAGGGGUUGACAGAGUCUUUCUUCACAGGAAACCGAAAACCUAAGCGAGCUACCUCUGGUUGGGCCAAGUAGGAAACCAACAUAUUUUGAACUAAUCAUCAGGAUCUGAAUUUUUUAAUCCAAUCAUUCGAGCCAUGCAAAGCCCAUGACAAGAAGCCCACACAGUUCGAUCCAAUCAUCAGCACCAAAAAAUGGUACCGGCCAUGAGAAAAAAGAGUGAAAACUAGCCCAAUGAAAAGAAAUGUUGCAAACUUAUCACUUAAGCAGACCCUAUAUCUUCAGAACAACUAAACAAUUCUCAUUUGCCACUAUUAACAAAUAUUCACCUCUUACAUUACUAACGAACAGAUAUCUUGCUUCAUGUAAUUUGUAAGUUUCAUGUUCUAUGCCUCCAUUUAUUUGCGUCAAUUCCUAGUGUCAUAUUUUCAGAUUGACGGCAAUGCAUGCCACCAUGAUCUACUAUUGAAAUAAGGCGUGGGUGCAUUGCAUUUUGUAGCUUCCUAGCCAGUAGUAGGUAUGCUCUGAUGCACAUUACUCAAACUGUUCGAUUGUAAGCUGUCUAUUUUGUGAUCUUGAUAUUGAGUUUGGAGAAAGAUCUGUAAUCAUGCUAUCUUGUCAAUCUGUUACUCAUUAUGUUAGGGACUGUUUUUCUUUUCUACUGCUAACUCGGAUGCCUACAUAGCAAAAUUUGUUGAUGUGUAAUUUGCCCAAAUGGCUAGAUCCUCCAGUGCUGCAUCCUCCAGUUGAACAGAACAACCAUCCGUUCUGAAAUGGAUAUUACCUAUGGAAAAUAUAAUGAAGGGUUGUAAAUGGAUAUUACCUAUGGAAAGUUCGAAAUCGGUAAACAUGAAAGCAGUAUUGAUAAUAUAUAUUCUAGGUUGUUCAACAUUUUGCUGUCAUCUGGAAGGUUGCAUAUCGGUAACAUCCAAACUCUUAAAAGAAUGAGUCAUGUCUAGGAGGAACUAGACAUCAAUGUUUAAUUAAGGUAGAGCCGAGGUUUGAACCCACGCGAGCCAGUGCACAAUCCAUGGUGCUAGACAGUAAGCCCCUGGGUGACUUCUCUGUAACAUCCCAACUUUUAUUUCUGCCAGAUUAAUUUCUUGUUUGGCUGUUCAUACCAAGGCAAUUUCAUGGUAGGGAUUCAGAGAUCACAUUAACUGCACAUGUAUGUACCAUGCCUUGGAAUGGCGAGUUUCGGUCGGUUCUCUGCAGCCUGUCCUGGCCCUGGGUUAAGUUUUUCUGACUAUGCUCUCAGCCAAACAGAAAAAUAACCUCAGAAAGAGCACGAGGUAAAAACAAUACUUUUGUCCAAAACAAAUUACUUUUGUAGAUUGAGGAGCAGAACAAAUGAAACCGUAAGAUUUUCUCUUAUCUCAAAGGGGCAUGAAAGUACUCCAUAGACCAUAUCUGAAGACGCAUUUCUUGGAUGUGAUUCUACAUCCAACUUCUGAAGCCAUAAGAUUCUGGCUUUACAAGCACAAUGCCAUGACAACUUUACUUUCUUACUUCUGAAUAAUUGUUUCUGGCAUGUGAAGAAAUACCAGAGAGAGGAACAAAAAGGUUCAGGGGAUGCAUGUUCGGAUGUUCGCAAAGAUGAUGAUGACCAGCAAGCCUCUAACCACAUUGUCCAUGCCAUUGAUAAAUGCAACCUGGCAGGUUGCAAGUACUGGCCUACUAGGUAUUCUGGUGGACCUCUGAACAUGAUUGGUUGGUGGCCUGCAAGCAAGAGAUGCCAUAAGAUAUUCUCUCAAACUACACCAUGAGCUAAUGUUGAUUUAUGUAAUGAUCAACAUGCCUUUUCUGAUUCUAAAAAAAAACGUGCCCUUUCUGUAAGAUGCAGCAUGCACCUUUUUUUUUUUGCGAAGAAGAUGCAGCAUGCACCUGUGGCAGUAGAGGGACCAUCAAUAGUUAGAUCCAAUAAUUGGACCUGUGUUUUAGUUGGGUUAUGUUCUUGCAUUGAGACUAUUUGAAGUUCAUCAUUAAUAGUCAUUACUUGAGUAUAGACAUGUUAACUGUUUCCCUGAAGUCGGCAGUGCCUCAUUAUAUGGAAUCGAUCAUCAAAUAGUUCUGCUGACCCACAGUAUUCCCAAAUUAUCUUUUUCAUUUGCAGUAUGAUAUGAGUAUUAAUGAUGACUGAUAUAUGUUCCCUCUCUUAUUCAAGCAGGAAUUCUGAAACAAUAAAAUCAUUGACGAAUCAGAUCUAUUUACAACAGUCAUUUCCAGCUUUUGGCUCGUACUAACCAGAGUCACAGCAAGUCGAGACUAUCUUCUUUGAGGAGUCUUAAGUACUGGUAGUUGCACUGGGAGCAAGAUUAGAGGGUGCUGAUUUUCCAAAUGAAAACUCAGUAUGCCCGGUAGUAUUAAUCUUCUAAAAAGAUAAAAAGGUGAAGCUACGCAUAUACCGUAUGCAAUAUAAUGUGAAGCUUGUUAGAAAUCAAUUCUAAGAUUAGCAUUUUUAUGACGUUGAUCAUAAAAUGUAGGAUAUGUUCGGUUUUUGCCCAAAAUGUGCCUUACCUAUUUUUUGGAUUGUUGCCAAUUUUGAUCACUAUCAAAGGUAUCUCACCUGCCCUGGUCAUUGCCAAUUUUUUCAGCUUGUCCAUUCACCUUUGCCAAUAGCGAAAUAAUGACAAGCAAAACCUAGACAAAAUCUUGGUUGCGUAGACUUGAGCUCAAGCACACCUGUAACACCCAGCCCAUUGAAGUGGUGGCUCAAGUGGAGUUGUGGUGGUAGGUUUAGAUUUUAGUGCGAUUUCUGCUAGCAUAUAAGGCUUGUUGGGUCUAAACACAAUGCAUCGGGUUAAUCUUGUUGAACAAACCAUGGACGAAAGUUUUAGGUGAGGUGCUAUGCAUACGAGGGCCUUCUCCACUGUGGGUGACCAAGGGCUCAUCUUCAGACCUGGGUGUUUCAUAACUGCUUUACAAUCUGGGUUUUAAAUUUUUGCAUAAUUUAUCUGGCAUAAAUUGCUUGCAUGAUUUGGCAGGACAGGCAGUUACUUCAUCAAUCAUUCAGUGCAGUUUUUCAUAAAAAAAAAUUGGGAACCCACUUGGCGUCUUUUUUGGUUGUUGAAUCAGCAAGUUGAUACUUACCUUAUAUUGCACAAUAAGGUCAGAGGCUCUGUUGAGCAAUGCUCUUCUACGAUUUAGCUCGUACUUUGUCGUCGGAAGUUCUGCUUUCCCUUUCAUACUGAUUUACGUCCGUGCUUAUUUACGCUUGUAUACUUGGAGUAUUUACGUACUACAGGGAAACUGUACAAGGUUAACGCUGCUAUUAACUACAGGGAAACUGUAUAAGAAUAACACUGCAAUCAAAGCAUCCCUUUAAUA